UGGCCAGCAGGGGCAGCAGCAUCACAUACUUCUUCAGUUGCCACCACUACCAGGAGACUGGAAGAUGUUAGCAGACCCUAGCCCUCUAUAUCUAAGAACACUUUAUUUCACUUCUAACUACCUUAAUGGCUAUCCUUGGACUUGCUUCUGACGGAUCGGAAAAGAUGGUUUAUUAUGAGUAACUACAUAUAAGGUUUCAAAAUAUCUUCUCCCUGCAUUAGCCCACCUUGAAUUAGAGAUCUCCUGUCCCCUAACAGGAACAGAACUUAUCUCUGGAGGCUUGCCACAGAAUGUUCACAUCCUUCUGUAUGGUCUUCUGGGAAGAAAUUAAGCCUCUACACUUAAACACUAACAUUCUUUCUCCUCAAAGACUAUCGCUUUCCAGGAGAACUGGAAAGCUGAAGGGAGAUGAGAGCUGGAGUUAUUCACUCUAAUAUCAUCUUCAGCAAAAAUAUCUUAAAGCCAAUUGAUGAAGAUUUCUUCCCCAAAAGAUGAGAAGAUAGAUAUGUGUGUACAUGCUCCUGUGUGAUUUUUCUAAGAAGAAACAACGUGAACAAAGAUAUGAAGGUGGUAUCAGCAAGAAAUAUGUAGAGACUAAGGACAAAGAAUAAGAAUAGAGAGACACCAAUCCCAGAGGGACAGGUGAAAUGUUGCUGAGC
Molecule: long non-coding RNA, 659 nt
Organism: Callorhinus ursinus (northern fur seal)
Lineage: Eukaryota; Metazoa; Chordata; Mammalia; Carnivora; Otariidae
Source: RefSeq, a predicted model, not a curated record